Taeniopygia guttata (zebra finch) is the source of this 2110-nucleotide long non-coding RNA. RefSeq lists it as uncharacterized. NCBI's taxonomy places the organism in Eukaryota, Metazoa, Chordata, Aves, Passeriformes, Estrildidae. The record is from RefSeq and is a predicted model, not a curated record.
GGAAGGACGGGGCGGGGCUGCCGAAGGCACGAAGGGAUUCGGGUGGGGAUAUGGGGUCGGGGAGGGGAUGGGGGAAGGAGGACUAUGGCAAGAAGAAGGAAGCACGUGGCAUCCUCCAUUGCUCAGCAGUAUGUGUUCUGCAGUUUUCAGGGACCCUGACGAAUCGCCAGGGCUCUGGGACGAGAGCAUUUCGCCUUUGGAGCAUUCAGGGCUGUAUUCUUGAGAAGAAACAGGUGUGAUAGAAGGGUACAGGGAGGAUGGUCCGAUUUCAGGACCCGGGUACUGUGGAGGUACAGCAGAAUCUGGAAAAGGGUUAUUCGGACUCUUUGUCUGUAUGCUUUUUUCCACUUCUAAAAUCUGUUUUCGAGCUUGUAAAAAUAUUGGAAUAAAAAGAAGCUUUAUGAUCUCCAGUAACUGUCCAAUUUGAUCCCAAAAUGAAACGGAAUUCAUAUCUUGAACGGUAUAAUUUGGUAAUUCAACUGUCAGCCAGCAGCCAAAGUGAACUAGGAGUUUAUUUGGGAAUGUAACAUUAAUUUAAAUAUUGUUAAGGUGUUUUAAUGUACUCUUUUGCUGGACUGAUAACUCUACGCCCAUUUUUUAAACUUUAUAUCUCCAGUAUUUGCCUCCAGACAAAGCAGCACGAUUUUCCCCGCUUGCACAGAGAGCACAGGGAGCGGGGGCGGGGGUGGGGAGAGAAGCUGCGGGUGCCGAGACGCGGCAGCUGCCGCCGCUUUUCUGGCUCACCAGGGGCAGGGGAGAGAUAUCCCACCGCCUUCCCGGCUUUAGGUGCCCAUCCCGUGCUGUCCCCACCCCCGAAACGCGAGCUCUGUCGGUCGGUCGGGGCGGCUCCACCGCCACUGAGCUUCGAUCCGAAGAAAAACUCGCAUAAGCCCGCCCAUUGUUACAAACUUCGACUGCUGGGUCCUAGCUUACCCGAGCUGCAGUUUCCACAGUCUCUAUGGUAACACCUCCCCCCAGCUAGGGGUUUUUCCCGGGAUAAACCGUAUGCGACGGGUCUUACCACUCGUUUUGGAUUGUGGGUGUCUUGUAGCAGUGGCCGGAGUCCGUGCUCCGGGUCGGCUUUCCUUGGUGCUGAGGUCCUCUUCUAUUGAUGACUGGAACAGAAAAGGCAAAUCUUGGAGCGUCAUCAGGAUGAAGUGGGAUGUGGAAAAAACAGUCCUUUAAAUCAAUGACAACAAGUGGCCAAUGUUUCAGGAUCAUUGAUAAAGAAGGAAGUCCAGGUUGAAGAGGUCCCAUGUCUUCAAUCAUUUCAUUGAUUCUUCUCAGAUCAUGAAGCAACCUCCAGGAGUCUGAUGUCUUCUUAUGGAUGAUGAAUACUGGUGAAUUCAAGGGGCUGUUCUUGGGAGUGAUGGGACCUUGCUGUAAUUGUUCCUUUAGUAAUUUUUAAAGAAUAUUUAAUUUUUUCUCUGUUAAAGGCCAUUGAUCAAUCCAUAUAGGAUGAUCAAUUUUCCAGUUCAACUUUCAAGUGGCAGGUUUUGAAUUGGUUCCCAUCACAGGCUUACUUCCAGUUUUGCUCCCCACUGGGAUAGGACAUCUUUUCCCUAGACAGUAAGAGGCUUCUGAACAACAAAAGGACACACUGUUACUGUUUUUCCUUCAGGACCUGUAAUGUUAAUCAUGGAUGCAUUUUGCAAACACACAGUAGCACCUCCAAUCCCUGUGAGGGAACCUGCAGUCUCAUAAUCUGAAGGUCGUGAGUUCAAUCCUCACAUGGGGCACCAUUUAUCGCCUGUCGGGGGCUAAAUACAAGUCGCGAACGGGACGGGACUGCUGUGGUAUGCGUCUAGAGCUGUUUAUUUUUUAGCAUCAGUCUCAUUAUAUGGUUAUGACAAUGGGAAGAUGCCAGCAGCUCACAUCCAGGCAACAGAUCAAGAACUUAAUGUUACAACUUACUUUAUAAACUUUUUGACCAGUCACACAAAGCAAAAGCAUAUUGACAGUAGUUGUAUCCAAUCACUAUAAGCACGCAUACCUUUAGUUAAAACAAUACUUGUUUAUUUUGAAUACAAUACUUGCUUGUAAGCCUCGAGAUACAAUGCACAGAGCUCCAUUAUUAAGCUUAGACCUUCCUAAUAUCUCACCAGAUAUA